Molecule: RNA transcript, 7697 nt
Organism: Malaya genurostris
Lineage: Eukaryota; Metazoa; Arthropoda; Insecta; Diptera; Culicidae
Gene: Ced-12
Gene name: engulfment and cell motility protein 1
Exons: 2
Source: RefSeq, a predicted model, not a curated record
AAACGUUCCAAUCGUACCAGUAAGGAAGCAGAGCAAAUGAAUUAUAUCGUUCCAGAACGAAGCAGAUCGAUCGUCUGAAAACAGCCGCUGUGUUUGCAAACAUUCACCACCCACUUUUACACACCAGUGUGAAUGUCAUGAUAGUAUAUGUAAAGUGUAUGUAAUGCAGUUGAUUAAUCAUAUCCUCAAUCGAGGACUGUCAUUUUCUUUUCAAUCGUCUGAAAACUGGAGAAAAGUUUGUGUUUUGUGAAAUAAAUCGGUUUUAUGUUGAAUUUAUUGGUUGUUUAUUGUCAAUGAGCGUUUACUCGGUAUAUUAGUUCUGUGUCCAGUGUAAAUGUUACCAAAAACUGCUAAAAUGCCUGCGAUCCGUGACAGUCAUGUCGUGAAAAUUGCGGUCGAGUUUGAAACUGGAAUUCCACAGCUUAUCGAGUUUGACCAAAGACAACCACUGGCUACGAUCAUACAGAAUUUGUGUUCGUUUUGGGUGAUUCAAGAUCCGGAAAGUUAUGCGCUACGGUUCACUGAUGUAAACAAUAACUAUGUAACAGAGAAAAACAGACACGAUGUGAAAAAUGGUUCUGUACUGAAAAUGGUCCACUCUCCAUCCAAGACGGCCAAUGAUAUUUUGGAAAAGUUGCAAGGUGGAAAAAGUGAUGAAAUGGUGAAGGUUCUACAAGAACUACCAGGACUAAGUGCUGAUAUUACCUUUGCUCUUGAAUUUAUUAAAGAACAAGGGCUAGGUUUAAUCAUCGGUAUAAUUGAAGAUCUUGCAUGGAAGGAGGGAGGAAAUAUUUUAAAAUUUGCAUUGUCUGCUUUUGUCGAAUUAAUGGACCACGGCACUGUAUCCUGGGAUAUUCUCCAACCAGCGUUUAUUUCGAGAAAUAUCUCCUUCAUAAAUGGAAAUAGUAGUAAAGAAAUUGUGCAAUCGGCGUUGGCGAUUCUGGAGAAUAUCGUGCAAAAUAGUGGUAAAUUUUCACUGGUAGAGAAAGAUGUUACAUUAGAGGUACUAUUGAAGUUGCUGCAGGAUUCCCCUUCGACCGUUAUUCAACAGAACACUAUCGCUCUCAUAAAUGCACUUUUCCUGAAGGCAGAUGAUGAGAAACGCAAAACUAUCGCUUCUACGUUUAGUUCGAAACAAUAUCGAAGUAUCAUCAAUAGUGUGAUUACAGCAAACAUGGGAGCGGAGAUUUCUCAUCAGCUUUAUGUACUGCAAACCCUGACCCUUGGAUUGUUAGAUCAGCGCAUGAAAACCCCAAUUGAUGUUCAAGACCAGGAAGGCCAGGAUAAAAUCAAAGAGUUGCGCCGAAUUGCUUUCGAAGCUGAUGGUAUCGAACCAAUCCCUGAAGUGACAGCCCGUCGUCAACACGGAGGAUCAUUUUCUGUGCAUUACAAAAAGCUGGGAUUUAAGUGUGACAUUAAUCCGGCUCAGGAUUUCUUGGAAACACCUCCAGGAGUACUAGCGCUAGAUUGUAUGGUUUAUUUUGCCAGAAAUUAUACUCAGAAUUACACUAAAGUAGUUCACGAAAAUAGUUGUCGUGCAGAUGAACACGAAUGCCCUUUCGGUCGAACCAGCAUCGAGCUGGUUAAAGUUUUGUGUGACAUUCUACGCAUUGGUGAGUCGCCAUCGGAACACGGGCAGGAGUUUCAUCCAAUGUUCUUCACCCAUGACCAUCCUUUCGAGGAAUUCUUCUGCAUCUGCAUUGUGGUACUAAAUAAAACAUGGAAGGACAUGCGUGCCACAACAGAGGACUUCGUAAAGGUCUUUAGUGUUGUACGGGAACAGAUCACUCGUAGUAUCACCGGUCGUCCCGCUUCCCUUGAAGACUUCAAGGCCAAAAUACACACAUUUACCUACAACACUAUCACUACUCUCCGCCAACAAGAGCGAACUUCCCGAGAAGAAUGCGAAUCGACUGCCUCGGCCAUUGUUUCUCUCAAAGAAAAAAUAACUCCCGAAAUUAUGUCUCUCAUUAAAGAACAACGUCUGGGUUAUCUGGUAGUCGGAACGCGCUUCUCCAAAUACAGUGGCGGCAAGCGGGAAAGAGAUAAGUACUGGUAUGCCCGCCUUUCGCCGAACCACAAAGUGAUUCAUUACGGUGACUGUGACGAAAAGACAGUUCCCACAUUGGAAGAAUUGAACAACAAAUUACCCGUCAUCGACAUUCGCCAGAUGUUGGUUGGUAAGGAGUGUCCUCAUAUGAAGGAAAUGCGUGCCAAAAAAUCGACCUUCCCCCUCGGAUUUUCCCUGGUAACGGAAUCGAGCGACCAGCAAACGUUGGAUUUUGUCGCUCCGGAUGAGGCCACCUUCAACUACUGGACCGACGGCAUCAACGCUCUGCUUAGCCAACCGAUGGUCAGCAAGCAGAAGGACGACGACUUCGAAACGCUGCUUUCAAUGGAGAUCAAGCUGCGCCUGUUGGACACCGAAGGGGUCGACAUUUCCAAAGAUCCACCGCCGAUCCCGCCGGAACCGGAGAACUACGAUUUCUGCUUCGACAGUUAAGGUAAUCUCGGUUGGAUGAUAUUCUGCAUUUGUGUUUUGGUUCUCUCUCAUGUAUGACUGUAGCAUUAGAUACCACUCGAUGACUACACUUUAUCGAUUGACACCAAAGUAUUUUGAAUGAAUUUUGUGUAAAAUAUGUUGAGUAUUGUUUCCAAAUUCUUUUUCAUUCCACUUCCAUUUUUUCGAAUUGCAAAAGUGGUCACUGUCUGAGGUUGAAUAAAGUUCAGUGGCAAAUAGUACUAAGCAUUCACAGUGCGAAUUGUUUGUUCUUAGUUAUUUGACGGUUGAUUGAACUGUAGUUAAAAUUUCAUUUCAAUCUCAAAGCACAAACACGAGUACCAUUUUUCAGUGGUAUCCAGAUGAUUGCCCGCUGUCUAAAAAAUCACUUUUAUCAAAUUUUCAUUUAUGUUAGUCAGCCUAUUGUUAUAUCCCACGAAAUGUUAAAUGUCUCCGAUUUAGGAUUAGGCAAAAACGUGAUGAAUGUUGAUAAAUAUUCGACAAGUUUAACAACGAUUGAUUUUUUUUAUUCAGAAAAGAACAAUUUUGUAAUCAAAUAGUUUCAUGCAGUUACAAAUUAUAACUGUUUUAAAUAGAGUCAUUCUCAAAAUUGGCCCAAUGCUCAUUCGAGCUUCGUAAUUGUUUCCUAUAUACUCAUAUACCAUAAUACUAUGUUCACACUAUGAGUUAAAACAAGUUUUAAUUCUGAUUUCAUGAUUUAAGCGAAAUAACAUGUUUUACUUUUGCGUUAUUUCAUAUUCAGAAACGUCACAUUAAAACAUGUUUUCCCGAAAUAACAUGAUAUAAUUGUCAGUAAAGCACAACCCUGCUAGCAUUUUCCGUCACUUUACGACUAUGUCAAUUGACAAGCUGUUCAACAACAGCAGUUUUCCAUCAAAGUAGCCAUGUAAUCAUAAUAAAACAAAACUGGAAACUGGUACCAACGUUGCCAGGUAUACCAAUUUCUAGGUAUUUAUACAGAUUGCUUGGUAUUUAUACAGAUUUUUGUCGUCUAUACCGCAAUACAGAUAUGUACUCCCGAAAUACCGAUAACUCACGAAUCAUACAGAUAAGUACCGAUUUUGGUUUUUAGCUUGAAUAGACAUGAGAAAAGGUUGUCGUGGGACCUUUUUUUUGCGCACCUCUUGGUGACAUUUUCUACUACUUAUGUAGAAGAGACUCUGAUACCGAUAUGGUACAGAUAGAUUUUUGCGCCGAAUACAGAUUUUUGGAAAAACGGCCUGGCAACGCAGACCACAACCACUUUUGUUUUUGAAUUAAAAGAUGACUUUUUUGAUCACUUGCUGCUCAAAAAUAUUCGAAACGCUGGCAAUAAGCGUGAAACGAUAAUAUCCUUCAUAGCUAGGAGAAGUACCUAGCUUAUUUCUUAUUUUUCGGAUAUUGUCAAAAUACUUUUUUCUUUCCUACCUGCGAGGUAGGCAUUUUUGCAGUUUGUUUAUAAACAAACUCAAUACCAAGUAAUAUGUCAUGCGUAUAACAUAAUCUUAGUGUGAACAGUGCGGUUUUAACUUUAUAUUACUAUCGUUAAAACAUGUUAUUUUCUGCAGGUGUGAACAUAGUAUAAAACGCCGAAACAUCGAAGAGUAGAAAAGAACUGCUCGGAUUACCCAAAACAUUGAGCUAUGUUUUAGUAAAGUACGAAAAACAACAUCCGACAACACGCAGGCAAACUAGCCGUCGCCUUAGUUAUUUCGAAAAUUUAUUUCAGUUUUAUUCUAUUAGAUCUUCUCUGCAGUUCACCCUAUUUCUCGGUUGAUUUUUCAUUAGGGUGUAUAAGCAAGUGACAGUUUCUCUUUGUUUACUUUCUCUUCUAUUAAUUACCAAGCGGUUUCCACGUUUAUCACUCAACUCUUUGCAUGAAAUGGUACCCGCAACCUUCGACUUUCAAACAGAGUAGUGAAAUCAAAGAGAAUCAUUUUAAUCACAUCACGAUAAUCGAAAGAGAAAGUGAUUAAAGAGGAACUGUCACUUGCUUAUACGCCCUAAUGAAAAAUCAACCGAGAUUUAGCAUCAGCAUAGCCAAACACAUGUCCAAAGUGCGCUAGCGUUCGUGUUUUUAAUUAAUAGUUUCAUCGCUUUUUGCACUCAAUAUAUUGUGCACAAUUGAUUUUCGCAUUGAUUCAUUGUGAAUUUCAAGCCCGAAAACAGCCGCGUACAGGUGAGAUAUUUUAUCUCUUAAUAUCAUCGCUGCUGGGCGAGUGAUGGAUCCGAGGUAACACCCCUGAUUUUGCCGCCAACAGAUUCUCUCUUAGAGAAAAACGUUCAACGGUGGUAACACCUAUUUUUCACACUAUUUUUUCAAGAGAAAAAACAACAACAAACCAACAGAAAAGAUGAAUUUUUGGAAAAAGAUACGCUCAGAGACAGGACUCGAACCUGCGUUCUUAUGCAUUCCGUGCAUACGCGCUACCAUUUCGCCACUCUGAUCUUGUUUUAGCCACUCUAAAACGCGAAACAGACAUAGUAGCAACGAACAUCGAACAUGGUCUACAUCCUGGUCGUCACCCGACCGAUACCUUACAUCCAAACAUCUUCUCUGUCCAUCAAACACUAGUCCUCUCGCUUUAUACCUAUUUCUCCGAUCAAGCAUUGAGUAGGAGAGUGUAUUUAUAAUCGCUUGUCACCUUCUUUAAUGGUGCCAGUCGCUGACUGGACAUCGUCAGCGACAGACCCCUAUGAAGGUUGUAUUGAUUGUUUGUUAUUGAUCUUUUUCCAAAAAUUCAUCUUUUCUGUUAGUUUUUCUUUCACUUGGCUUCUCCAAUAUAUAUCUCCGCUCAGUCAUUGCAAAAACUGAACUUAUUCAUGGCGGCUUUACGUCAAACUAAAAUUAAUAAAUCGUUAACAACAAACCGUUUCAGUAAACUGAACGAAUAUUUCGUGCAGUAUGUCGUUCAACAAGCGCUCAACGACCAACAAAAUAGAAUGGCUUGCUGAGAGGGUUGGUACCAGCAUCUGUCGGAAUUGAGUGAGGAAAGCGAACUGAAUUAAAGUUUUGUUUUCUUUUUCUUCGAUUUUACGUCUAAAAACUAAAUUUAGAUUUUUUUUUAGAUUUCAGAACUAUUUAUAUAAGUUCUUUUUCUAAUCCCAUGAUUUCACCCCCUCACCUUUGGAUACAAACCAACGAACGACUAAAAUUAGGUUAAAGCCGGGUAUAAAUAAACGAUAUAAUAAAAAUUCUUUCUCAAAUACUAACAUGAACUGUUAAAAAACGAAGCAACAAGAUCUAUCUUGGUUUGUAUCGUUAGCUGAAGUGCAAUCAAAUGACAAGUAACUAGGGAUGUCAAAUAAUAGGUUAAUUAAUCAAAUAGUAACCCUGAUAAUCGACUAAAAUUCAAUGGAUUAGUUUGAAAAAAUAUAUUCGAUUUUUGUAUAAUCGAAUAAUUCGGAAAAAUUCACCAAUUAACUAUUGCACAAUUAUAAAGAAUGUGAAAAUUCAAUGAAAUUCAUAAUGCGACUGUCAAUUGUGUUAAUCGAGCACUUAAAAAUCAAUCAAUGAAAUCGAACAUGAAUUAAUUACUCAGUUCGGUACUGUAUAAAUAUUCAAUUAGUAAUAUCAAUUUCGAUUUGUUCGCCUUUCGCCUUCGGUUUCAAGCAGUUCAAAUUGAGCUGCUAUCUUCGCCUAGCAGUUCAAUUUAAAACGCUAAGCAGACGCAAAGUUCACACAAUAAUUAUUUAAAUUUAAAGGAUAUUUAAAUAUUCUAUCUGAUGUCUCGGGCGAAAACGUGUGACGACCGACUACUGGCCGCCGCAAAAUUUGAACAUUUAGGGAUUUUUAUGUCUGCUUAGCGGUUCAAAUUGAACUGUUUGGCGGAGAUGGCCAAACAGAAUUGUGUUAAGCACUGAUGAACCGAAGGCGAAACGCGAAGAAAUCAAAACGAAAUAUGUACUUUUUGUACAAACCAAAACCCCUAAAUGUAGUAAUAUCAAGCUUUUGUGUUGGCCAUAUUCUUCUUCUUUGUUUAGAUCAUUACGGAAAGAUGCUGACCACAGUAACAUGACCUCACACCAGGCGGCUGCAUUUUCUCGUCACAAUGAUGUAGCGAUGCAUUUACCACCUGGUAACACAGUAAUCGCAUUAAAAAAUACUAAAAUCUAUCCAUUAUUCAAUAUUUUACCGUCGAAUUUAUGAUCAGUGUUGACUACUUUUGCUAUGAGAAAUAAAUAAAGUCAAGAGUAAGUACCAAAGUAAUGGGGUAAUAUUACAGAUUUGAGCAUUUCUUCACUUGGUUCAACAGACAAACAAGACAUAACUGUAAGAGACACGAAAAAAACGUUUUUUUUUAUUUUAUGCUUUAAGCUGACAAAAGUAUUUAUAUAGUUUUUAUUUUCUUUCUUUAUUUUUGCGUGUGGCACUAGCAAUGGUUGCUUGAUGCUACUAGACGUAGUCUUUUUUUGUUUGUAUUCGAUGAAAUGAUAAAUAUAAAUUCAAUUUCUAAUCCUUAUCUAUUCGAUCGAACAAAAUAAAUUAUGAACAAGCAGAAUGUGGCCUGUCUUUUUAGAGAACAUUUACAAGACAGGUUGAUUGAUUUUCGAUUCCUGUUGGAAAAUUGGAUCACGUUGUCAUAUUAUACAAUUAGGAUAAAAACAAAUAUUAUAUUGUAUGACUGGAACUAAGUACUACUAGUGCUAUUACAUUAAUGCGGAAUGGUACACGCACAUAACUGUUUCUUUAUUCCUCAAACUCGCAGACAAUAUGGAAUAAAAGCGUAUACGAUCGAUGGUUUCCCAACAAAGUAUGAUCCUAUGUUUGUGCAAUCUACUGAAAUGAUCUACGAAUGACACAAUUCUAUAUCUCUAUAACUUAGAUCAACCUACGCGAUAUAUCCUGUAAGUUUUUUAUUUGUUUCGUUUUCUUAGACUCUUAAAAACGUAAUAAUAGAUUCUAUGACAAAAAAAUUAUUUUCGUAUAUUAUAUCAAUAAAUAAUUCCAAAGAUGGUAUUUUGAGUGGAUUUUUUUAUAGAAUAAAAAUAGCUGAGUUUUAACAUUUUCGAAACUAUGAAUUAAAAGGGAACAGCAUGUGCGCAGUAAUCAAACACAGUGUCUCAAAAUUGCAGAAUCGAAUGAGGAAAAGUACGUAUUCAUGUCAUGCCUGCAAUAGAUUGACCGCAAAAUUCAAGUAGUAAAAAGGAAAAUUGCAUGUAAUUCGAAAAAUAAACUUAUUUUGUAAUCAUCAAA